GCUGGCCCCAGCUGGACUUUAGCAAGAGAAAAGGAAAAGAUGUUUCCCAACUGCUGGGUCAGGUCUUGAGUUGGCCAGGAUGAGGACAGGGCAGAGUCCAGCUUCAUCUGAAUCUGUGUCUUCUCCCCGCCUUGUCUGUGGCCCAGCUGCCCUCCUGCACGCAGCUGUCAUCUUAGAGCAUCCCUGUGCCAAUUGCCGAAGCAAGACAAGUUGUCCUGCUUUGGGUCCGGGCCUCCAGUGCACCCAGCUCCAUGCCAAAACCUUUGAUGGGGUCAGAAGAGGAGCCCUUGCCUUUGGAGGUUCAGCUAUUGGGUCUUCAUUGAGGGCUAUAAUUCAUAGGAAUGCUUAGUUUGCAAAGGAAGGAAAACAAACUGGUUUGGGCAAAAAAGCAAUUUAU
RNAcentral lists this long non-coding RNA (397 nucleotides) under Gorilla gorilla (western gorilla). RNAcentral's name for it is "long non-coding RNA NONGGOT009614". Lineage: Eukaryota; Metazoa; Chordata; Mammalia; Primates; Hominidae. The record is from RNAcentral.